Molecule: ribosomal RNA, 497 nt
Filed under: uncultured bacterium
Lineage: Bacteria
Description: partial 16S ribosomal RNA
Rfam family: Bacterial small subunit ribosomal RNA
Source: RNAcentral
GACGAACGCUGGCGGCGUGCCUAAUACAUGCAAGUUGAGCGCUGAAGGUUGGUACUUGUACCGACUGGAUGAGCAGCGAACGGGUGAGUAACGCGUGGGAAAUCUGCCUUUGAGCGGGGGACAACAUUUGGAAACGAAUGCUAAUACCGCAUAAAAACUUUAAACACAAGUUUUAAGUUUGAAAGAUGCAAUUGCAUCACUCAAAGAUGAUCCCGCGUUGUAUUAGCUAGUUGGUGAGGUAAAGGCUCACCAAGGCGAUGAUACAUAGCCGACCUGAGAGGGUGAUCGGCCACAUUGGGACUGAGACACGGCCCAAACUCCUACGGGAGGCAGCAGUAGGGAAUCUUCGGCAAUGGACGAAAGUCUGACCGAGCAACGCCGCGUGAGUGAAGAAGGUUUUCGGAUCGUAAAACUCUGUUGGUAGAGAAGAACGUUGGUGAGAGUGGAAAGCUCAUCAAGUGACGGUAACUACCCAGAAAGGGACGGCUAACUACGUG